AGCCAGUUAGCUCAGUCGGUUAGAGCUUGGAGCUGAUAACACCAAGGCUGCGGGUUUGAUCCCCACUUGCUC
This 72-nucleotide transfer RNA is filed under the name Apaloderma vittatum (bar-tailed trogon). It matches the Rfam family "tRNA". From Rfam's summary of the family: Transfer RNA (tRNA) molecules are approximately 80 nucleotides in length. Their secondary structure includes four short double-helical elements and three loops (D, anti-codon, and T loops). Lineage: Eukaryota; Metazoa; Chordata; Aves; Trogoniformes; Trogonidae. The record is from Rfam by way of RNAcentral.